UUUUCCUUCCCUUAUUUUGGGUUCAAUGAGAACAUUUUAUUAUGAACUGUAGGUACUUGCUGUGAAGAAACUUGAAAAGAGAGUUUGUGAUCACCAGGAGGAGGAGGAUUUUCUUGAAUUAGUGAAUGGCAUUGAUAGAACACGACAUGUAACAAUCGUCAAGUUUAUUGGGUACUGUUCAGAGCGUGGUCAAAGGCUUCUGAUAUACGAGUAUUGCAGUAAUGGAUCACUCAAUGAGGCACUCCAUCAGAGGAUGAAUUUAAAACAAGACUCACAUGGAAUGCUUGCAUCCGGAUAGCACUUGGGGCGGCUAGGGCCCUAGAGUAUUUGCAUGAGCAAGAGCAAUGUCAGCCGGCUGUGAUUCACAGAAAUUUCAAGUCUGCUAACAUUCUUGUUGACAAUGACCUAUAAAAAGCAUGUAGAUCAAUCAGUUCUAAAGAUAAAAAUUUUUGAAAAAGAAGAGGGGCAAAUUAUGAUAAAGAGGCAAAUACACUUUCUGUUGAGGAGGAUGUAGACAUACAGUUGUCUAAAGUCACAAUAUAAUUGAAACAUCGAAAGAUGUUGAGGUACUUGAAAUUUGUCAAAAUGAUAAGAUCUUAAUAAAUUUUAAUAAAUUUUGUCUUUAUAGGAGAAAA
Arachis ipaensis is the source of this 635-nucleotide RNA transcript. It is a transcript of the gene named G-type lectin S-receptor-like serine/threonine-protein kinase SD3-1 pseudogene, with no coding region annotated. The record is from RefSeq and is a predicted model, not a curated record. Lineage: Eukaryota; Viridiplantae; Streptophyta; Magnoliopsida; Fabales; Fabaceae.